ACGACGAGCAGCUUCCUUCCUCAGUUCUUCUUUCAUGAUGCCUAUCUACCAUGGUGAGUACAACUCUACUGGGUUUGCUGGUGAUGAGCCAAUGUUACAACAACACGAACCUGAACACCCCACCAACAU
RNAcentral lists this non-coding RNA (129 nucleotides) under Paramoeba aestuarina. The record is from RNAcentral. Lineage: Eukaryota; Discosea; Flabellinia; Dactylopodida; Paramoebidae.